AUUCUUUACAGCUGCAAAUUUCCCCCUACAAAGAACAGCUUUGCCGGGGCCAUUUCAAAAUAUGGCAAAGAAACUUGUUUUGGGGCAAAAUAUUUUUAUUUUCUUCCUCAUAUCGUAAUGUUCUGCCAGGGCCAGGUUGGAAAGUAAGUCAUGAUAUACGUGGUUAAAUAAAACCCAUCUGAUGAGAAUUUAUGGUUUGUAGGGCAUGACUCCCCAAGCCCCUUAGGUAGGAAUUUGGGCAAGAUAAAAAAUCAGAGUUUAGUCCUCAAUCAUGAUGAGCUGCUGAGUUUCACACAAGGCCUGUUGUCAUUUAAACUAUAGCCUAAAUGUCUCUCAAAGUCAGCUUGGCCCCAAAAACCAGGAAUAAUUAAAGGAAAGGCAAGAUUGUGGGUGGGCUAGCUCAGCUCACAGUUAUAAUAAUUCUUCUCACUGAUACUGUUACAGCAGGUAGCUCCUCCGGCUUGAGCAGGACAGGAGAGCGCUUCCCACCCACAACCAGGAAUGUCAGGCGACCCCUCAGGUGAUGGUCAGGUGGUUGUUGCACUGUUUCUCUAAAAUAAUAAUUGGUAGCAACCAGCGCCAAGGAAAGGCAGUCUCCCAGUAGAUAGAAAAAAACCUGAAACGUGGUCAGGUUUAUCCACAAUCUUGCUCAUGUGGUCCUGUGGCCCCCACCGAGGAGCUGGGUUAGGGUUGGGAAGACAGCUUCGACUCCCCAAGACUUCAUCUCCAACCGGACCGGUCAGCGCUCCUGACUCACUGGCCGCCUACCCACCAUAUCAUCCUUCGAAACUCGGAUCCCCACGUUUUUGGGGAGAAGGAUUUGAGUAAUAAUAAAACUCCCGUCUCCCCCGCAGCCGGCUCUGCGUGAAUUACACUUUCCUUAUUGCGAUUCCCCUGCCCCGAUGCGACCAAGGGGCCCGCCCAGGAGCGCAGAGAAACCAUUAAGGGGUCACAGGACCGGGCUCCCAGGGUGACUCCCUGGCCACCAAGUCCUCCAGCAGGUCACUCCUGGAUUCCGGCUGGACCCCCUGCCCAGGGAGGGGCCCAGGAGACGCGGAAAUCGGGUCCCCCGCGGGUGAAGGGGAGGUGGGAGCCCCAGAGGAGGGCGGGAAGGCUCGGCCGGGGACGUGCCCGAGGGGGAGGAGAGGGGCUCCCGUCCGGGUCCGGCGCUGCGGGUCUCAGGGUCCGCGUCCCGCCCACCCCGCGGGGGUCUGGGCUGCGGGCGGAGCCUCCUCCGGGACCUGCACCUGCGCCGGCCGCCGCCAGGGGCGCCGCUGAGCACCCGCCUCCGCCGCUUCCCCCUCCCCGCCGGGCGGGGCCGCGCGCCUCCCACCCGGGACCCACUUCGGAGUUCGCCCCCUUCGGGACUCGCCUCCGGGAGACCCCCGAGGGGGAGAGGGCGCUUCCUCCGCGUCCAUCGCCCUUGCCGCCCCUGGGUGGAACUGUUUUACAAAUCUGAGGGCCACCAUUCCAGGUAUGGCUAGCCUCCCGUUGGAAAAUUUUUACCAUCUUUCUUCAAUGUAGUUCUUAUUCUUGUGGGCAAACCAAGACUUUUCGUUUGGAGGGGACCUUGGGAUCCCCAGGAGGGGAAUCUCCGGGAGCGGGAGGCAUAGCUAAGGCUUCCUCUCUAGAAGGUGGAGUUGUCGUUGCAGCCCGUUUGCCUCUUCGUCUGCCUUUCUGCUUUGCUGCUUUUCGGGGCCUCCUGCAGCGCAUCACUGCCACCUCUUCCAGGGCCCACACAGCGUUUAACAGAGGUGGAAUUUCCUCCUUAUACUUUGUUUUUUCACUUCCAGCCGUUAAAAGUCUUUUAUUCUUUGUAAACAGCCUCAUGAACAUGCAAAGUGGCAGAAGCAUAUUUGGAAUCUGUGUAAAUACUUGCCUUCUGCUCUUUUCCUAGCCAGAGAGCUCUUGUCAGAGCUAUUAGCUCUGCUUUCUAAGCAGAAGUUUCUGCAGACAGAGACGGUACCUCUACUGCUGAGUCCAAAGUCACCGCGGCAUACCCAGCUCGGCAGACUCCCCUUAGUACGAAACUGCUUCCAUCAGUAAAAUAUUCAAUGUCCAGGUCCCCGAGGGGCCAAUCUGUUAAAUCUUUCCAGCUUGAGAACACUUUAUCUACCACGUCCACACAGCAAUGAAGGGGACUUCCUGUGUAGGGUCCAGCCCUACGGGGGCUUAGCGGGUGUUCUCCCCGUGUGCAGAGACAAGAGAUCGUAAGAAAUAAAGACACAAGACAAACAGAUAAAGAGAAAACAGCUGGGCCCAGGGGACCACUACCACCAAGACAUGGAGACCGCUAGUGGCUCCGAACGGCUGGCUGCGCUGAUAUUUAUUGAAUACAAGACAAGGGGGCAGGGUACGGACGGUGAGUCGUCCAAGUAAUUGAUAAGGUGAAGCAA
RNAcentral lists this long non-coding RNA (2396 nucleotides) under Homo sapiens (human). Its description in RNAcentral is "HSALNT0360856". The record is from RNAcentral. Lineage: Eukaryota; Metazoa; Chordata; Mammalia; Primates; Hominidae.